RNAcentral lists this ribosomal RNA (458 nucleotides) under uncultured bacterium. Its description in RNAcentral is "partial 16S ribosomal RNA". It matches the Rfam family "Bacterial small subunit ribosomal RNA", at positions 338 to 795 of the family's 1533-position model. The record is from RNAcentral.
CCUACGGGUGGCAGCAGUGGGGAAUAUUGCACAAUGGGGGAAACCCUGAUGCAGCGACGCCGCGUGAGUGAAGAAGUAUUUCGGUAUGUAAAGCUCUAUCAGCAGGGAAGAAAUAGCGACCUUUGGGUCGCCAGACGGUACCUGACUAAGAAGCCCCGGCUAACUACGUGCCAGCAGCCGCGGUAAUACGUAGGGGGCAAGCGUUAUCCGGAUUUACUGGGUGUAAAGGGAGCGUAGACGGCAGCACAAGUCUGAAGGUAAAUGCCGGGGCUUAACCCCGGAACUGCUUUGGAAACUGGGCAGCUAGAGUGCAGGAGAGGUAAGUGGAAUUCCUAGUGUAGCGGUGAAAUGCGUAGAUAUUAGGAGGAACACCAGUGGCGAAGGCAGCAUACCGGCGCUCAACUGACGCUCAUGCACGAAAGUGUGGGUAUCGAACAGGAUUAGAUACCCUUGUAGUC